UGGGGAAUAUUGCACAAUGGGCGAAAGCCUGAUGCAGCAACGCCGCGUGAGUGAUGAAGGUCUUCGGAUUGUAAAGCUCUGUCUUUUGGGACGAUAAUGACGGUACCAAAGGAGGAAGCCACGGCUAACUACGUGCCAGCAGCCGCGGUAAUACGUAGGUGGCGAGCGUUGUCCGGAUUUACUGGGCGUAAAGGGUGCGUAGGCGGAUGUUUAGGUGAGAUGUGAAAUACCCGGGCUUAACUUGGGUGCUGCAUUUCAAACUGGAUAUCUAGAGUGCAGGAGAGGAGAACGGAAUUCCUAGUGUAGCGGUGAAAUGCGUAGAGAUUAGGAAGAACACCAGUGGCGAAGGCGAUUCUCUGGACUGUAACUGACGCUGAGGCACGAAAAGCGUGGGUAGCAAACAGGAUUAGAUACCCUGGUAGUCCACGCCGUAAACGAUGAGUACUAGGUGUAGGAGGUAUCGACCCCUUCUGUGCCGCAGUAAAACACAUUAAGUACUCCGCCUGGGAAGUACGAUCGCAAGAUUAAAAC
RNAcentral lists this ribosomal RNA (531 nucleotides) under uncultured bacterium. RNAcentral describes it as "partial 16S ribosomal RNA". It matches the Rfam family "Bacterial small subunit ribosomal RNA", at positions 355 to 900 of the family's 1533-position model. The record is from RNAcentral.